UAGUCGUGGCCGCGACGGUGUUCCAGCAU
Molecule: non-coding RNA, 29 nt
Filed under: Mus musculus (house mouse)
Lineage: Eukaryota; Metazoa; Chordata; Mammalia; Rodentia; Muridae
Source: RNAcentral